UUAACAGUGUUAAUAAUGUUUUGUAGUUUCUGUUCAUGUGGCAAGGGAAAGCUAGGUACAUAAGAAGCUUGGCUGCCCGUUAUUAAGACUAGAGAAGGCUCAAGACUGAAAGGUGAAGCCAGCUUUUGUUGCCCAUUUCAGGGCUCACUAUGAGGUCUGGAUCUACACAUGAUGAUGCAGCCGUCUAUACCAUGGUAGCUCCUCUUUCCCACAUGGACCUGAUUUUAUUUAUUUUUUUAAUUUUUUCCAGCAAGAGCUCGGGUAGUGGUUGGAGACCAGUUACUUCGUGGAUGUAUGGAUGGAUGAAUGAAUAGGUUUAUCUACUUGAUUUUGUGAAUACACCUGUUACCUAUAAUGCAUGCAUAGCCAAGGGACUUGUACAAUCCUUGGGUAUGCAUGUUACCCCGUUUGGUUUUCCUUUUGGUACAAAUUGGGAAGAUUUAGUGAUUCAAAUCAUUGGUAUGAUGGAACUCACCAUGCAACGAAAAUCCCCCAUAUCCUAGGUGUAUAUAUGUUAUAUUUUUUCGUUUUCUUGGCUUAUCUAAUGCAAGGUAAAUACAACUGGGUGGAUGAGCACGUAUGUAGCCAUGGUAAUUGCACAGUCCUUAGGUGGAGAAGUUUGUUACCAUUUAUAUUUUCAGUUGGAUAAGUAGGGCUACGAUUCGCUGGUUCCUAUCUUUGAUGCGAUGAGCUUCAUGUGGAUGGAUCAUGCAGGAAAAGAUCUUAGUGUAUGAUAUUUCUUUCGUUUUCUUUAUAGAAUGUGAGCCACUGCUA
Long non-coding RNA from Magnolia sinica, 774 nucleotides. RefSeq lists it as uncharacterized. The record is from RefSeq and is a predicted model, not a curated record. Lineage: Eukaryota; Viridiplantae; Streptophyta; Magnoliopsida; Magnoliales; Magnoliaceae. The transcript has 2 exons.